Columba livia (rock pigeon) is the source of this 8031-nucleotide long non-coding RNA. RefSeq lists it as uncharacterized. The record is from RefSeq and is a predicted model, not a curated record. The transcript is spliced from 8 exons. Lineage: Eukaryota; Metazoa; Chordata; Aves; Columbiformes; Columbidae.
GACAUGAAGGUUUGAGUUGUGGAUAAAUCACUCAGAGAAAAAUAAACUUUUCCCAUAAGGAAAGCUGCCACAUACACUUGUGCAGAAAGUUGUUUGUUUGCUCCCUGCAGUGGUUUUUACAGUAUUACCUAUAUGAUGCAAGAUGACAGAAAGACUUGCCUUAAACAUGCUGUUUAAGCACUUCCUCUUGCUACUCAUAUCCUUUUCUCCCCCUAUAUAAUUCUAAUAUCCUGUGAGUCUAAUCCUGAGGCAUUAGCUUAGCUGCCAUGCAGUUAAUGAAAUAGUGACUUGGGGAAAGCACUGAUAUGUCUGCUCCCUCCCAAAUUCCUACAUCUGUUGUUACAGCCACAGUGAGAACAGCGUUUGGAAACUAGAGGAGCGAGCAUACAAGCUGAAGAUGCCAUGUAGGAGGGGCUCUGGGUCUUGUCCAAAGAUCCCAACAGACUUUUACAGAUGAAUUUUUUUUCCUAACCUGAACAAAUUGGUGUACUGACAGCGAGUGGAGCCCUUCAAGCACGUGUGGCUUCUGCAGCUGUCUGGCCUCUUGCCCCAGCAAGGGCUUGUGCUGGGAGCACGUGCUGCAGCUCUACAGGACUCUGCCUUCCUGCGGGAGCCUCCGCAUCACGCACAACAGGAACAGAAAGCUGUCACUCAGUCACUGGCUGCAGGAACGUGUCUUACUGAGCUGCCUGACUGUGCAGCCAGAAGAGGUUAAACAUUAACCCUGCAAUAAUAUAUAUUUAUCUGCUUCGAGAGCCAAGAGUGUCAAGCCUUCUCUUCACCAUUCAUACACUGAUCUUCCUCAAAGGACACAGACAUGAAGAGAGGACUCUUUUGAACAUCCCUACCUUGCAGGCACCAAGUGACUUCUUAUUUCAUAAACACUUGACUUACUGAGGUGUAAGCAGAGCCAUCAGCAAUUUCACACAAAAAUGAAUUCUCCCCCUAAACUUUGUUCUCACAGGAAAGUUCACCUGGCCUGAUCUGAAGCAGAGACCUGCCUAUAUUUCUGCGACCUUGUUGAUGCUGUGUGCAUCAGGCCACAGAGCCAGACUUUUCUGUGGCUCAGAGGCUCUAGGACUCUUUUGCAGCCACUUGGCUGCCACAGGGGAGCUAGAGGAGGCACACUGGAGAACCACCAGAAUUCAGGAGUCUAACACCAGUCAUGUUUUCCAUCUCAAACUGGAUAUGAUGCUGAAAUACCACACAGAAAAGGAAUUUGCAAGGAACAGGCCUGAGCUGUGUUAAACUGACGGCUUAAAAAGAGAAACGCCACCCAGGAAAACCAGAUGAUGGAAUUUGCCUCCCUUCAAUUAAAAAGUCAUCCUUUCCUGUUGUUCAGUGAGCGCUGGGCUUUCCAAGUUCACCAGUUUUUCCUGGGAUUAAAUGACUCAUGAACCUGAUAGGAAAAUGCACCUGUUUUUAGCCAGAGGUUAAAGCAGCUCUCCAGUUACCGGAGUAAACAAAGGGUUUAUUUCUGUCCUUAGCAGCUACCCUGCAAAGUCCAGGAACACAGGAUGGCUGGCAGGAGCAAUUAUGUUUGAGCCAAAUUUGCUGAAGCCAGCAGAAGGUCUGUGAAGUCCAUGGUAAGAUACUCGCAGAUGCCAGUGGGAUUUGGCCCAUGUCUUUUGCUAGAGGGAAAACAGGAAAGAAAAGUUGGUGCAGUGAUUGUGCUGGCUGCUGAGGACUCCAAGGGGCUGGAAGGUAUCUGCUGUGAUGUGGGACACGUAUUCUCUGGCCCAGAGCUGUCCAUUUGUACUAUUGGCAGAAGCUGUCAGUCACAGAGAUGUGAUGGGUAUACAUGCAUUCAAGACUAUGAGAGUAAUCAGCGAUUGCAGUAAUGGCAUGAAAGUGGCUAAAAUAUUUGGAAAUGAGAGUGUUGGAGGUAUUCGUAUCAUGGAAGCUGAGAGGUUCAGCUAGCUGGGAGUCAUUUAUUAAUCCCAGCAUGAGAAAUGGGAUGUGUUUGAUCUCCACUGCAGAAUGCUGAAAAGUGCAAACACAACACCAGCUUAUUUCAGGUCAGCACUCAAGAUGGUAUAAAGACAAGAUGGAUUUUAGCCUUUGUUUAACUGGAUUUAAUUACAUGCAUGAGCUUCAAAGUGCCUAAGGCCUAAUGGAUGGUGACCUAAGGUCUGAUUGAAAAAGCAACAACAACCUAAACCUUAAGCUUGUUUGUUAGACUGUAUGGCAAGGCUGGACCAUGUGAUGUUCCAGGGAGGGAUGUUAGGAAGAAAGCACCCAUCUCAUCCAAAGCAUUUGCCAAGAUUUACAGCUUUACUCAGAAGAAUCUGAACACCAACCUCACGUGCCCCCCAUACCAGUGUGGCUCAGGAGCUUGAUUGGGACAUAUAGGAGACAGUAUUUCCAACCAUGCCUCCCUGAAAAGUCUCUAGCGCCCUCAGACAGAGCAUGCUGACACUUGGUGAAGAAAAGGAACACUUGAAAUUUUGGUUUGGAAGAUCCAUGUGGCUAGGAAAUUCCAAAUAACCAAAUUUAAGGAAAAGAGGCCAUCAUCAAAGGCUUGUUAUCUUCAUGUAAUUUUGUUUUAAUUAGUGCUAGCAUGUCAGAUAUUGUGACAGUCAUCUGUUUGUAUUUAUGGCUGUGCCUGGUUUCAGAGAAUCCUAUUCUUGGGUCUGAAUAAAAUAUGAAGUCUGUCUGUCUUCUUCAGAUAGCACGAAGUGGUUCUCGAUAAAGUCUUGGAGAGCUACCGCUAGAGAAAUAGAAAUUAUGACUAAAAAUCUGCUCAUGGAACCAAGACCUGCCAAGACAUGGCUAAAUGUAAUUGCUUGUGGCAGCUGUUUAUGGGAAAACUGCAAGUUUUGAAAUUGCUUAAUUGUUUGAUAAGCAGAAAUGCUCAGAAAUCAAAAGGAUACGACUUUAGUAUGCCACUACUUUAAAUGACUGCAGCAUGAUUUUGUCCAUCACAGGAAGUCUGUGCCAUGUUGAUUCACAGCCUGAUCUAGCUCAGAUGAAACAGGCUGGUGUAACAAAUCACCAGCUGGAAUGUUUUGAAUUUCCAGUGCCUGUAUGGUGCUUGGCAUCCACACAGAGCAGCCAGCCCAGGUGCUCCCACUUUGAAGAUGAUCAGCUCCAGACCCUCACUUUCAUCUUGGUCACAUAUCCAGUCAAAAGGACCUUGACGUAACUGGGCCUGUUUCACAUUUAAAAGAUAACUGCUUAAAAGCUGUUUAAAUAAUUUGUGUGUACAUCUAAGAAUCUCAAAGCCUUGGCCAUAUUAAUUAAUUUUUGAAACAACCUCAUGGGGUGGGUGCUAUCCUAAUUUAUCAAGGAGUUCGAUGAGGAAUGGAGAGUUAACAUUUUGCUCUGCGUCAGUUCUGUAUCAGGUAAAGGAAAGCAGCCCUUACCAGCCCCUAUGAACCACCUCAGUGGGCUGACUGACAUCCACCUGCUUUGUCUCUGAACCACACAGCUCAGAAAUGUCAUAUUCGCAUCCUCAACACGUUGCCCCUCCUUGCCUGCUGAGUGCUACGCAGUCACAGCCUGGUAAGGCAAUGUGAUGGGCUGUGCUGGCGCAGUGUUCAGCGGCGUGAGAUUUGUUGGCUCCUGCGUGCAGCAGUGGAUCCAGGUAUGCUUAUGGCAUAGUGCUGGGCUUCCUCCAACACAGGCACAUUUUCUGGCAAGGAGGAGACAUGGGAAAAUACUUAUAUUAAUGUCCAAGGUUUCAGCCCCUCUCACAGUUCCUUUAUAAUGUCUUUUUCUUGUUGUGUGCUUUGCUGAGCUUCCAGAUAGUGGCUUCUGCCUCUGCAUCCCCCAUUCUUGAAAGUCCCUUGUCAAACUUCUCCUUGGGAAAACUGGUAGUUUGUAACACCGAGGCAGAGCGUCCCUGGCGCUGGAGGGUAACCCUGUUACCUGGGAUCCCAGUCUGUGUGCCCAUACCCUUGGUGACUCACCUGGGUUUGCUUUCCCUGCCUGAGCCAGCUCACCACGGGAUCAGUGCUGAUGCAAGAAAUGGAGCAGGAGACCCCAACCAAGGAGAAGGGAGAAGUCACAGAGACCUCAGCCUGGUCCUGUUGAAGGUGUCACAGAACUGCCCCUUAAGACUGAUCCUCCUUAAAGAGUAACCCAGUGUCGGAGUUCCACCGAGAACACCAACACAACAAAUCUGUUUUAAUUUUUUACUAUGGCCUGUCUCUCUCAAAUGCUCCUUUUACAUACAGAUCAUCCAUGGACCACAUGAACUCUGGCAUUCUUCUGCUUUUGCUGUGCUUGAAAAAUCUUAUCGUUCACUUUUGUGUCUUUAACAAGUUGCUUUUCGUUUUUUUUGUACUUUAUUGCAGUUUCACAUCCACUCUGCCAGACUUUGUGUUCUUUUCCAUCUUCCUUAGCUCUCUAUUUUUUUAAGAAUUUAUUUUUACAUCUGAGAAGUUUUACAUGCUCAAUCAUGUUGGCGUACUUUUUCUUUGAAUAUUUUUUAUUUGAUGCUGAGCCUGUUAUCAUCUGAACCUGAACCUUAUGUCAUCUACAAGUGCUUUACUGUUUUUAGCUGCUGACAUCAACAAAUUUCUUCACUUUUAUGUGGUUCCGCUUUUUAAAGGGUUUGAAGCGCUCUCCCUUGCCUGCCCACUUGUGCUCUUCCCUUUGCCUCAGUUAAUGGCACGAUCAGUCAUGCUGGAAAGUUACACCCAACCAGUAUUAGGAAAUGCUCCCUGGUGCCUCGUAAAUCCCUGGUGCCACCAGUAAUAGCUGAGGAGGAGGAGGCAGAGGAGAUGAAGGAGGAAGCAUUCCAACCAUAUGGACUCUCAGGAUUACUAUUUUCCUCUUCAGAAGACUGCCUCUGCAAUGUUUUCUAGCAGCCUUGGUCACACCAGUUUUGACAGGAGAGCGUCUGAAAGUCCAUGUGAAUAUAGGCACAAGCAAAGGAAUGGCACACAAACCCGUGGUGGACAUUAUACCAAAGAAACCAAAUGAAAGAGACAACUGGGUUCAACAAAAGUGUUGGCCCCAAAACUGAUGGAGGGACUACAAAGCAAAACCCAGCGUGCCGCAAGGAACAGCAUGCAGACAGAGCUGGGUGGGAUUUCCCUGGAGGAGACGCCGCUGCCUGAGGAAGAGCCCCGUGAAUCCUGCUCAGGCAAAGUGCUGAUCUUGGUACGAGAAGAAGUGGACAAGCUCCCUGGUCUGCUAUCACCUGUAUAUCUCAACCACAGCUUGGCCAGAACAGCUACAUGAAUUUCAUGGUUGAGCCUGGACUAGGAAACAUUAUCUUUAGAGGUGCAUGCUUAUUUAUCCCACAUGAGACAAUUUCUGGUUUUCUUUCCCAAGGCAGCAUGCAGGGAGGUCGAUUAGUACUGACUGUAACACCACUCACUGUGCUUGGCAGUUAAAGCACAAGCAAUAAAAGCCCUUAGGUACACCCUCCAAAAACAACAAAAAGCCAAGGUCUCCAGGUGAGCUGGUUUUGAUGGAUGGCCUGCUUCUGAAUUUUGAGGCUUCCUGCUGCCCACACUUUUCAGUCCUGUGAACUAGAAACCUCUGCUUUUACUCUUGAGGGUCUUAGGUGUUGCUCUGACUCCCAAGAAGACAGGCUCCCUGGAAAACACCUUAUAUCACAAGAUCUGUGGCACAGACUUUUUAAGCUACUGAAUUGUAAUGCAAAAAAACCCACAGGAGUAAGGUGGGAAAUGUGCAACUCUCCUGCAAUCCUUUGCCAUUUUCUAACAAGCUCUCAUUUUCUCCCUAGUUACCAGAUCACGAAGCAGUUGUCUUCUCAUUUCUGAAAUAUCAGCAAACCCUCCUCUGCAAAACUGAAAAUGUUUUGAAUAAUAAAAUGAAGGGUGAGAGUUUUCAAGCUUGGCUGGGGGAGCAAAACAACUCUUCCCCACUAUGAUGAAAAGAUACUGGAUCUCUACAUCACCUACAUAGCCCUGCUUGGGACAUCGUAGCUAGGAGUUUUCAGUCUGUCACAUGCCAAGAAGUGACAGCAGCAGAGGACCUCUGCUGUAAAUGCUGGCCAUGCACAGAUAGAGAAGGAUUCCCUUCAAAAACAGCGAGCUUCUGAGCUGGUCUUCUGUGCGUGUCUGACUGCAGCUUGUUCAAAUGAAGUCAUUCACCUUAGUUAACAGCUCUGCCCAAGAGACAGCUGUAGGACUGAUCUAUAAUGAGACUUUGUAAUGCAUUGGCAGAAUUGUUUUACUGCAGGUUUGAUUAGGCAGGGAGUACUCACAUCACAGCUUCCCAUUGAAUGAGGUGUUUAUCUCCUGCGUGAGGAUUAGCACAGCGCUGUACCACGAAGUCUGGUAUAGCAGAGUAAGUGGUUUAGUGUAAUCCUCCUGAGAAGGAUUGCUGUCCCGAAGGAAUUCCUGGGAAGGUUCUUUGCCUGUACCAGGGUUUUAGAAGACUUUCAAUUGGGUUUUUGGAGGGCUUUUUGGAGUUUGUGCUGCUUUUCCCUGAUACAGUCUUUCUCCAAGAUGUCUGGGCAGGGGUUGGGUCAGCAAGAAUGAUUACAGAGCUUAGAGACAGUUGGUAUUGCUGUACUGAGAUGCUACUGAGUAAUCAGAUAAUUGAAGUAUGACUGACAAGUGAGCACCCCAGUCAGGCUCCAAGCAGGGUCCUGCCUGGGCAGUUGUGUUCGCUGCUGAUGUCUGGCACAAAUAGAUGUUGAUCCUCAGUGUACUCUUGCUUGCAUUAAAGGCACCUUCAAAAGAGCAAAUCCUGUUUGGCACUGCUCCAGGCGUAAGUGCUGCCACUGCACUGUCCAGGAACUUGGAAAUCUCUUUACUAAUGUUUAAAACAAAAAGCAAACAGAAGUUCCUCAAAGUCACAGCAAUUUACAUCUUAUAUCACAGAAUCAUGGAAUAGUUUGGGUUGGGAUAUCCUCUCUUCUUAUUUUGUUACUAUCCACUUUGUGAAAUUUUUUGGUCUGGGCUAUGUAGGAAAUAUGGUCCCAGUUCACACUUCUCAAGUGCAGAAGGUACCUUUGAAUAAUGUUCACUAAACAAAGUUUUCCAACAGGAAAGCGAGCAGUACCAAGCAGUCUUAAAGUGACAUUUCUAGAUUAAGAAGGUCGUAUGCAAUGACAAAAGUGUAGGGUCCUACGCAACAAAAAAAUAGAAAUUAUAGUACCUGCAAGAGGAGCCUUGAUGGUGAGGGAGAUUUUAAGCAGUCCAGAUAUAAAGCAUAUCCUUGGGGCCUUGGCAAGGAUGCAGACUUCUCUCCCACACAACCUCAGUCACUCUUGAAAAGCCAAAUUCUGGAAUUUUAAAAGACAAAAAUAUUACAGCAAUAGCUACAACAAACAUGAAAAGCAGAUGUUAAAUGAUUGCUAAUGAUCUUAUCAAUGUGUUGUAUAUUUGGGAGGAAGAGGAGGGAGAAAGAAGAAAUCUACAUUCUUCAGAUUUAUUUUUUAAUUAUUCAACAAUUAUUGAUGAGACUAAAGCGAACUAACACUAGGGUUUUGCAGAGAGGUUUCAACUUUAUAAUGGAGAACGCAUUGUGGUGGUUGGAGGAGGAGCACCAAUACAAAUCCCACAAUACAAAGGAAGCCAACAUAAGAAUCAAGUACUAAAACGCUGUGGGAAGAGAGAGAUUUUGCCUGGACGGCCAAUUUUAGCUUUUUUUCCAGAACCCAAAUGCCUGGAAGCACCUACAGCAGUUGCGGUGUAGACUGGGAGGUGUCCCAGCGUGGUACCCAGGGGGUGGUCACACGCCCAGGCUGCACCAGCGAUGCUCCAGUGCAGGUACAUGCACUGUGCUCUGCCAGGGCCAGCAGAGAGGUGACAACCAUGUGAACAUGUUGCUGUGGUUGCAGAUGUUUAGCUCUCUCAUUCAGAAAUAACUCUCACAAUUGGUGCUUCCCCUCUGCCAACGCCACAGCACAGAUUUCACCCAUGUGUGCAACACUCCUUUGGCUGCUGGAGCAAGCUGUGAAAAGCACUGGGCCUGGUCAGUCAUUUAACUGUCGGUCAUUAACUUCGUCCUGCAGCCCAGGUCUUGAUGCAACUGAACUUUGAAGAGAUUUGGCCCUUCUUGUACCAUGGCUUAUUUUGCUAUUAAAAGUAAUUUUAUCUCUAA